UAUGUGGAUUUCAAAAGUUUGU
This 22-nucleotide non-coding RNA is filed under the name Arabidopsis thaliana (thale cress). The record is from RNAcentral. Lineage: Eukaryota; Viridiplantae; Streptophyta; Magnoliopsida; Brassicales; Brassicaceae.